RNAcentral lists this ribosomal RNA (440 nucleotides) under uncultured bacterium. RNAcentral's name for it is "partial 16S ribosomal RNA". It matches the Rfam family "Bacterial small subunit ribosomal RNA", at positions 338 to 795 of the family's 1533-position model. The record is from RNAcentral.
CCUACGGGAGGCAGCAGUGGGGAAUAUUGCACAAUGGGGGAAACCCUGAUGCAGCGACGCCGCGUGAGUGAAGAAGUCUUUCGGUAUUUAAAGCUCUAUCAGCAGGGAAGAAAAUGACUGUACCUGAUUAAGAAGCUCCGGCUAACUACGUGCCAGCAGCCGCGGUAAUACGUAGGGGGCAAGCGUUAUCCGGAUUUACUGGGUGUAAAGGGAGCGUAGGCGGCAUCACAAGUCUGGAGUGAAAUGCGGGGGUUUAACCCUGGAACUGCAUUUGAAACUGUGCAGCUAGAGUGCAGGAGAGGUAAGUGGAAUUCGUAGUGUAGCGGUGAAAUGCGUAGAUAUUAGGAGGAACACCAGUGGCGAAGGCGGCUUACUGGACUGUAACUGACGUUGAGGCUCGAAAGCGUGGGGAGCAAACAGGAUUAGAUACCCGAGUAGUC